AAACGGAAUGUCAUCGUUCUCGCUGCCGUUUCGGCUCUCAUCCUAGUCAAUGUUCCAUACUGGAAUUCUUUUUAGCCAGGUACAUCUUCGAGGACGACUUUUUUAUUGAAGUGGAUCCUGUUCAUCCGACGAUAUUACAUGUACCAACGGUUCUGCUACUUCGUUCGUGAGCCGAAUUGAAGGAGGAGAGAGUAGUGGUGGUGAAGUCGAGAAAUAAGAGCCUGCGAUUCUCUCAUCAUGUGCAUAGCCACAACUCCAAACAAGGCCCACGUAACGGUGACUACAUCGGUAACAUUCUGCGCGCAUCAUCCAGCAAGGAGUUGAUAUUAGGAGCUCGAGGGAUUUACGACAUAUUCUUCUUCUUCGAGGUCAUCAUCGCCCUUGACCUUAUUUUCGGUGUCAUCGUUCGCUCUGAGGAGUGAGAAACAACAAAAGGAGGAAAUUUUCCGACAAUAAAGCCGUCAGGUUCGAGGAUCACAUCCGCUACGAGCACAACAUGUAGCGCCAUCUUUUCUCCGAUCCUACAGAAUUCACUGGAACCGAUAACAAUUUCGACGCCCUGGUUUAACACCAAAUCUAGGAAUUGUUUCCACGAUUACGGACGACCUCAUUAAGCAGCCGACGAUGAACAGUCCUAACAAAACGAAAUACCUGCACUUCAGGUUCAACUUGAAAAUCAUUCUAACUGGUUGUCCGUUUGGAUCUACAUUUGGUGCAGGCAUGUUGAUGAUUGCUUUCUACAUGCGUCCGUUGCAAAUUCUUCAAAGAACUAAACAAUUAAUUAAGAUGGCUGCUAUCCACUCCCGAUGACAGUCCGCGCAACCAAACUGGUAGUCGGCAACAACAAUUAAUUAUCGAGAAAAUUCGAGAUCAACAGCAACAAAUGCAAAUGUGUGAAAUGAUAAAGGCUAAGAUGGAGAUGAGCAGAUGAGCUGUAGUCGCGAGCUGUAUCUUAUAUCCAUUCUUCUCACAUAGCUGUGUCGACUGCUGUGACUUCCACGAGGGGUAGCUAUAAAUUCCAAGUAGCUCAUCCAGGAAAAAUAUUCAGAUCAGAUAAAUGUAUAUUAUCAGUCCAAUUAGAAAAUUUAAUUGACGACCGAUGGCAAAGUUCAUCGGUUUGCGCUGCAAGAAUUUAUACGGAAUCAUCUCAAACUCGUCUACCAAAUUCUGAGCUCUUCUAUGACCCAACCCCAACGACAUAUAUACUCCGCUGUGUCAACCGCUGUGUGGUUUUUGCUUGACUGUUUGGUUGGUUCUAAGGUUUAUUCACGGGCACCCCAUCACCUUUCACGUGGUUGAAAUAACACGUAAUACAUCUGCUUGACCAUCCGUUUCUUGCAGGUGGUAGUCUGGCAGCCAAAAUGCAAAUUUGCCAAGCACUUUGUUAAUGCCUGACUGAAAUUGUCUCUGUCAUCCAUAAGUUCCUUAGCCUGCUGUACAGUCCGGAAUACGAAAUCGAAUUACAACUGGUUAUUAGUUUGGAACCGGUGAAAUAUGUUGUUUUCAAAUUUUAAAAAAGUCAUCGAGGAACUCCGUCAACGUCAAUUCUUAUUUCGUUAUUUGCCAACCAACAGUUCCUGAAGAGUUGAUCCCGAGACCACUGUUUCAUGUGCCUUGACACGAACGAUACGAAUUACGUGUAAACCUAAAAGUGAACAAAGAUGAUUGACGAGAGUGGCGCCAUACGGAAGCGGCUCACCUCUGGAAGAUGUUUAGCGAAGAUGAAGUGGAAGCAAAAUGCAGUCAUUCCGUAUCCUCCACUACCGAAUCAGUACCUCUGCUCACAGUCUGAUUGAAUUGUUGACGAGUAUGGUUAAUCGGUCCAUUCAUCUAAUUGGCCUAGUAAAAUGAAAUCCUGAUGGAUUUGGUAGUAAAUUGUUGGUUAUGAGCAUGGUUAAUUGGUCAUGAGUAUGACAGGGGCUUGGCCGCUUGGGGCACUGAAGAGGACAUCUGGUGGCCAGGUUUGUCUUCAGUUGUUGGACCUUCUUCUUCUUCUUCGUUUCGUUCAUUGUUAGUUGGAGCGUGGCUUUUGAGAGAAAGCCAAAGGGACGCCAUUUUCGUUUUUAUGGGAGGUUUUGAUCAUUUUGAUGUAAGCUUAAAUAGCUGUAUUGCUUGGCAGAUGCCAAAUUGAUUUCUUAGAAUUUACGAUGUGUUCCAGUUGGAUCGGGUUGGCAGUUGGAGAGCUUGCUACUAUUCUUGGUGUUAUAGACAAAUCUUGGAACCAUGUUGUCUACCACGUCCAGGAGCUGAGUAAUAUUUUGCAUGUGCAAUGUUUUGUAUGGCACCUUUUACUUUGGCCAUCCAAUCGGGCAGGCUGCAUGGAUUCUCAUUACUUUUGGUGGGAACAUCAAUAACAUACACUAAUUGGAGGUUAAUGUUUACGUAGCAGUGAUGUUGCUGUCCAAUAUGGCAUGUUGCAGCCUAUACUAGUGAAAGAUUUUUUGCAUGGAGUUAAACUGUUGCUGUUCCUUGGUGCUGGACUGCUGGUGUUGUGCAAAAAAGUUACAUCCAGUUUUAAUUGUUAUUUGUGUCCAUGCAGUUAACUGUUUAUAUGUUGAAAAGGAACAAAAACAGUUCCUUGGUGUUGAAUCGCUGGUGUUGUGCUAAAGAAGUUACAUCCAGUAUUUUGUUUACUUGCUAUUUGCUCUAUGAAGUUAACCGUUUAUAUGUUGAGAAUGAAAAAAAAUAGUAAUACGGGGAAUUUUUACGUUGAACAAAUAAUAAACAUGCCUUCGCGAUUGGGAAACCAACGAGGAGGAGAUUGGGGGGGGGGGGCAUUUGAUUUUCAUUAACUAGAAGUCGUAGUGGUUUAAUGAGGUAGAAAUAAAACCCUUUGUUAAUCACAUCCAUAUACCAACCCAUGCAUCCACAUCUAUUCCACAAACCCCAUAGUCUUCACCAACAUCAAUUCCCUAAACCCCAAUUUCCCCACAAAUGUUUGUAAUGUGUGUAUAAUAUUGUUGAAUAAAUAAACUAUAUAUGUAACAUGAAAAA
Long non-coding RNA from Daphnia pulex (common water flea), 2994 nucleotides. RefSeq lists it as uncharacterized. The transcript has 11 exons. The record is from RefSeq and is a predicted model, not a curated record. Lineage: Eukaryota; Metazoa; Arthropoda; Branchiopoda; Diplostraca; Daphniidae.